AGUAAUGGCGAACGAACAGGGAUGAGCUCGGCUUGGAAACUGGGGCCUUGGCCUUGGAUUGUAGCCUCUAGACAUAGCACCAACGGAGGCGCAGGUGUAAGCCUCUUGGAAAAGAGCAUCAACGUGGGUGAGAAUCCUGUGUUUCAUCUGCAGUCCACCGUGCACGGUGCAUGUUCUCAGAGUCGCGUUCCUCGGAAUUGGAGCGUAAAGUGGGUGGUAAAUUUCAUCUAAAGCUAAAUAUAGGCUUGAGACCGAUAGCAAACAAGUACCAUGAGGGAAAGAUGAAAAGGACUUUGAAAAGAGAGUUAAAAGUGCUUGAAAUUGCUGAAAGGGAAGCGAAUGGAACCAGUCCUCUGGCUGAGAUUGCUGCAUGCUUUUGUGUGUGGUGUUUCUCAGCUUGUGAGUCAACCUUUGUUCAUGCUUGAGGAUAGCCUCAGGUUCACGACGCUUCCCCGCGGGGUUGCUCCUGUGCUUGUAGGGACUCAGGCGUGUACUUUGUGUGACAAAAUGGU
This 512-nucleotide ribosomal RNA is filed under the name Biecheleria halophila. RNAcentral describes it as "LSU rRNA". It matches the Rfam family "Eukaryotic large subunit ribosomal RNA", at positions 82 to 606 of the family's 3401-position model. The record is from RNAcentral. Lineage: Eukaryota; Dinophyceae; Suessiales; Biecheleriaceae.